AUUCAAACACUGGCCACCAUCCCUGGUUUCCUUCUGGUUCAUGCCUGAAUAAGGUGAGUGGAAGUUGCUGGGAGAGGAGGUCUCUCUUCUGUGCUGUCUUCCUGAAGCCAUCUGUGGAGUCAAGCAGUCAUGGCUCAGGCACACUCUGAAGUUGGUCCCAGCACAUCUGCACGGAGCAUCAGGAGAAAGGCGGACGAAUACUUGAGACCCAGCCUGGCCUCUAAAUCUGUGCUGAGCGUUUUACUCAGUAGACAGCUUGGGAAUCAUAGAAACGAUGUGGAUCUGACAGAGUGGCUGUGGACACUGACACAAACCACACCAGGGUGGACCUGGCCUUUGCCAACACGCCAUACAAUCAACCCACCUUUGCACCCUGGGGAGGAUAGAAAAUCCAAGAAAAUGGUGUGGAUCAAUAAAUCCUUCCCCUGAUGCAACCAUUACAAA
This is a non-coding RNA of Macaca mulatta (Rhesus monkey), 444 nucleotides long. The record is from RefSeq and is a predicted model, not a curated record. Lineage: Eukaryota; Metazoa; Chordata; Mammalia; Primates; Cercopithecidae.